AGCUCAGCACUGGGCAUAAAGUGUGCGCAGGCGGUGCUGUAAGACAGGCGUGAAAUCCCCGGGCUUAACCUGGGAAUGGCGCUUGUGACUGCAGUGCUGGAGUGUGGCAGAGGGGGAUGGAAUUCCGCGUGUAGCAGUGAAAUGCGUAGAUAUGCGGAGGAACACCGAUGGCGAAGGCAAUCCCCUGGGCCUGCACUGACGCUCAUGCACGAAAGCGUGGGGAGCAAACAGGAUUAGAUACCCUGGUAGUCCACGCCCUAAACGAUGUCAACUGGUUGUUGGGUCUUUUCUGACUCAGUAACGAAGCUAACGCGUGAAGUUGACCGCCGUGGGGAGUACGGCCGCAAGGUUAGAAACUCAAAAGAAUUGACGG
RNAcentral lists this ribosomal RNA (373 nucleotides) under uncultured Hydrogenophaga sp. RNAcentral describes it as "bacterial SSU rRNA". It matches the Rfam family "Bacterial small subunit ribosomal RNA", at positions 542 to 916 of the family's 1533-position model. Lineage: Bacteria; Pseudomonadati; Pseudomonadota; Betaproteobacteria; Burkholderiales; Comamonadaceae. The record is from RNAcentral.